CCUACGGGCGGCUGCAGUGGGGAAUAUUGGACAAUGGGCGCAAGCCUGAUCCAGCAAUGCCGCGUGUGUGAAGAAGGCCUGCGGGUUGUAAAGCACUUUAAGCAGGAAAGAAGGGCGGAGCGAUAAUACCGUUUCGCAUUGACGUUACCUGCAGAAUAAGCACCGGCUAACUCCGUGACAGCAGCCGCGGUAAUACGGAGGGUGCGAGCGUUAAUCGGGCUUACUGGGGGGAAAGGGCGCGUAGGCGGUGAAAGCCCUGGGCUUAACCUGGGAACUGCGGUGGAUACUGUCGGGCUAGAGUGUGGUGGAGGGGAGUGGAAUUUCCGGUGUAGCAGUGAAAUGCGUAGAGAUCGGAAGGAACACCAGUGGCGAAGGCGGCUCCCUGGACCAACACUGACGCUGAGGUGCGAAAGCGUGGGGAGCAAACAGGAUUAGAUACCCCGGUAGUC
RNAcentral lists this ribosomal RNA (449 nucleotides) under uncultured bacterium. RNAcentral describes it as "partial 16S ribosomal RNA". It matches the Rfam family "Bacterial small subunit ribosomal RNA", at positions 338 to 795 of the family's 1533-position model. The record is from RNAcentral.